GCGGAGGGAUCAUUACCGAGUUUACAACUCCCAAACCCAAUGUGAACGUUACCAAACUGUUGCCUCGGCGGGAUCUCUGCCCCGGGCGCGUCGCAGCCCCGGACCAAGGCGCCCGCCGGAGGACCAACCAAAACUCUUAUUGUAUACCCCCUCGCGGGUUUUUUACUAUCUGAGCCAUCUCGGCGCCCCUCGUGGGCGUUUCGAAAAUGAAUCAAAACUUUCAACAACGGAUCUCUUGGUUCUGGCAUCGAUGAAGAACGCAGCGAAAUGCGAUAAGUAAUGUGAAUUGCAGAAUUCAGUGAAUCAUCGAAUCUUUGAACGCACAUUGCGCCCGCCAGUAUUCUGGCGGGCAUGCCUGUCCGAGCGUCAUUUCAACCCUCGAACCCCUCCGGGGGGUCGGCGUUGGGGAUCGGCCCUUUACGGGGCCGGCCCCGAAAUACAGUGGCGGUCUCGCCGCAGCCUCUCCUGCGCAGUAGUUUGCACACUCGCAUCGGGAGCGCGGCGCGUCCACAGCCGUUAAACACCCCAAACUUCUGAAAUGUUGACCUCGGAUCAGGUAGGAAUACCCGCUGAACUUAAGCAUAU
This 585-nucleotide ribosomal RNA is filed under the name Trichoderma virens. Its description in RNAcentral is "eukaryotic LSU rRNA". The stretch from base 216 to 369 matches the Rfam family "5.8S ribosomal RNA". Lineage: Eukaryota; Fungi; Ascomycota; Sordariomycetes; Hypocreales; Hypocreaceae. The record is from RNAcentral.